CGUGCAGUUUUCGUGCUGUCUCUUCGGGAUGAGGAUGCAUGCGGGUUCGAUUCCCGCCGGUAUCGACUAAGUCGCAGUUAGUCGAUCACUAGUCGAAUGAGAAUUAUCCGGCUAGCCAAACCUGACCGGCCGCAACUUGCAAGCACUGUUUGCAGAUCAGUUGGCCGUUGGCUAAUCCACACCAACUCCUCCAAUCGCGGAUCAUAAAAAAUUAAAGAAUCGCAAUAAAAUCCUGGAUUCUGGUCGCCGGUUAACCGACCUGCAGCACUGGGCGUGGGCCUCUGUCCGUGCGUCGGAUGAGAGCGCGUGCGGAAAAAAAGGACCAAAGAAGGCCCG
This 336-nucleotide long non-coding RNA is filed under the name Pandoravirus neocaledonia. Its description in RNAcentral is "hypothetical ncRNA". The record is from RNAcentral.